GUGGGGAAUCUUCCGCAAUGGACGAAAGUCUGACGGAGCGACGCCGCGUGAGUGAAGAAGGCCUUCGGGUCGUAAAGCUCUGUCAUCAGGGACGAACGGCCGGUGGAGUGGAAAGCCACCGGAUUGACGGUACCUGAGAAGGAAGCCACGGCUAACUACGUGCCAGCAGCCGCGGUAAUACGUAGGUGGCAAGCGUUGUCCGGAAUUAUUGGGCGUAAAGCGCGCGCAGGUGGGAUCUUAAGUCCAUUUUUAAAGUUCGGAGUUCAACUCCGUGAUGGGAUGGAAACUGGGAUUCUUGAGUACCGGAGAGGGAAGCGGAAUUCCCCGUGUAGCGGUGAAAUGCGUAGAUAUGGGGAGGAACACCAGUGGCGAAGGCGGCUUCCUGGCACAAUACUGACGCUCAUGUGCGAAAGCUAGGGCAGCGAACGGGAUUAGAUACCCGAUAGUCC
This 449-nucleotide ribosomal RNA is filed under the name uncultured bacterium. RNAcentral's name for it is "partial 16S ribosomal RNA". It matches the Rfam family "Bacterial small subunit ribosomal RNA", at positions 354 to 796 of the family's 1533-position model. The record is from RNAcentral.